UAGGUUCAUGGUGAUACAGGUUAACUUUGAGGUUCAUGCAGAUGGUGUUUAAAACUAUCAGUCAGGAAAAACAAACUCAUUUGAACACAGCUUGAGUCUUCAUAUAUAAAAUGAUGGCAGUACUUUUAAUAUGUUCAUGGUGAUACAGGUUAACUUUGAGGUUCAUGCAGAUGGUGUUUAAAACUAUCAGUCAGGAAAAACAAACUCAUUUGAACACAGCUUGAGUCUUCAUAUAUAAAAUGAUGGCAGUACUUUUAAUAUAGGUUAACGCAGACAGACGCAUUUUGCCGGAAAACGAAUCUGACAUGCCACCUCGAGAUUUUAACCAAGGAAAGACAACUUGAUGUGCUUUGAUUUGAGGGGUCACUCAAUGCUGAACGAAAAUUAGGGACAUUGCUAUGUGAAGAAAUGUUAACAUUGCCGCCUAUGGGAAAAC
Saccostrea echinata is the source of this 436-nucleotide long non-coding RNA. RefSeq lists it as uncharacterized. The record is from RefSeq and is a predicted model, not a curated record. The transcript has 3 exons. Lineage: Eukaryota; Metazoa; Mollusca; Bivalvia; Ostreida; Ostreidae.